CCUACGGGAGGCUGCAGUCGAGAAUAUUCCACAAUGGACGAAAGUCUGAUGGAGCGACGCCGCGUGCAGGAUGAAGGCCCUUGGGUUGUAAACUGCUUUUGUAAGGGAAGAAUUUCGAUGACGGUACCUUACGAAUAAGAGGUUACUAACUCUGUGCCAGCAGUAGCGGUAAUACAGAGACCUCAAGCGUUAUCCGGAUUUAUUGGGCGUAAAGAGCUGGUAGGUUGUUAUAUUAGUCAGAUGUCAAAUCUUCGAGCUCAACUCGAAAACUGCAUUUGAAACGGUAUAACUAGAGGGUGUGAGAGAUCUAUGGAACUCAUGGUGUAGCAGUGAAAUGCGUUGAUAUCAUGAGGAACACCAAAGGCGAAGGCAUUAGAUUGGCACACUCCUGACACUGAGCAGCGAAAGCGUGGGUAGCGAAUGGGAUUAGAUACCCCGGUAGUC
Molecule: ribosomal RNA, 444 nt
Filed under: uncultured bacterium
Lineage: Bacteria
Description: bacterial SSU rRNA
Rfam family: Bacterial small subunit ribosomal RNA
Source: RNAcentral